CUCAGAUUGAAUGCUGGCGGCAUGCCUUACACAUGCAAGUCGAACGGCAGCACGGACUUCGGUCUGGUGGCGAGUGGCGAACGGGUGAGUAAUGUAUCGGAACGUACCUUUCAGUGGGGGAUAACGUAGCGAAAGUUACGCUAAUGCCGCAUAUUCUGUGAGCAGGAAAGCAGGGGAUCGCAAGACCUUGCGCUGAUUGAGCGGCCGAUAUCAGAUUAGCUAGUUGGUGGGGUAAAGGCCUACCAAGGCUACGAUCUGUAGCGGGUCUGAGAGGAUGAUCCGCCACACUGGAACUGAGACACGGUCCAGACUCCUACGGGAGGCAGCAGUGGGGAAUUUUGGACAAUGGGGGCAACCCUGAUCCAGCCAUGCCGCGUGAGUGAAGAAGGCCUUCGGGUUGUAAAGCUCUUUCGGCCGGGAAGAAAUCGCAUAGGUUAAUACCCUGUGUGGAUGACGGUACCGGAAUAAGAAGCACCGGCUAACUACGUGCCAGCAGCCGCGGUAAUACGUAGGGUGCGAGCGUUAAUCGGAAUUACUGGGCGUAAAGCGUGCGCAGGCGGUUUCGUAAGACAGAGGUGAAAUCCCCGGGCUCAACCUGGGAACUGCCUUUGUGACUGCGAAGCUAGAGUACGGCAGAGGGGGGUGGAAUUCCACGUGUAGCAGUGAAAUGCGUAGAGAUGUGGAGGAACACCGAUGGCGAAGGCAGCCCC
This 710-nucleotide ribosomal RNA is filed under the name uncultured bacterium. Its description in RNAcentral is "bacterial SSU rRNA". It matches the Rfam family "Bacterial small subunit ribosomal RNA", at positions 23 to 728 of the family's 1533-position model. The record is from RNAcentral.